GGAGGGCAGCAACGUGCAGAGUUAAAUGUGUGCUUAAUGAGAUUCCCGAGACAGCUAACUGGCAGUAACAGAGAGAGAGGGAGGGCACCAGAUCAUUUCAACGAUGAGGGGAAAGAACAAUGGACAGAUGGUGAUGAAGAUGACAAAGCGAGAUCCUACUACACCUUGUCACUACGCAAUGCACAAUUGAGAGCAUCGACUGUCGGGCUGUAUCACCGCCUGGUACGGCAACUGCACCGCCCACAACCGCAAGGCUCCCCAGAGGGUGGUGCGAUCUGCACAACGCAUCACCGAGGGCAAACUACCUGCCCUCCAGGACACCUACAGCACCCGAUGUCACAGGAAGACCAAAAAGAUCAUCAAGGACAACAACCACCCGAGUCACUGCCUGUUCACCUCGUUAUCAUCCAGAAGGCGAGUGGCAGGAAGGGAGAAACAUGAGUGAACCCUCCAGUCAGAGGCUAUAUCCCCAUGAGGUCAACCUGCUCCCGAAAACCAGCAGAGAAUGCGAU
This is a long non-coding RNA of Oncorhynchus masou masou (cherry salmon), 512 nucleotides long. RefSeq lists it as uncharacterized. NCBI's taxonomy places the organism in Eukaryota, Metazoa, Chordata, Actinopteri, Salmoniformes, Salmonidae. The record is from RefSeq and is a predicted model, not a curated record. The transcript has 3 exons.